RNAcentral lists this ribosomal RNA (253 nucleotides) under uncultured bacterium. RNAcentral's name for it is "partial 16S ribosomal RNA". It matches the Rfam family "Bacterial small subunit ribosomal RNA", at positions 524 to 776 of the family's 1533-position model. The record is from RNAcentral.
UACGUAGGUGGCGAGCGUUGUCCGGAUUUACUGGGCGUAAAGGGAGCGUAGGCGGAUUUUUAAGUGAGAUGUGAAAUACUCGGGCUCAACUUGAGUGCUGCAUUUCAAAUUGGAAGUCUAGAGUGCAGGAGAGGAGAAUGGAAUUCCUAGUGUAGCGGUGAAAUGCGUAGAGAUUAGGAAGAACACCAGUGGCGAAGGCGAUUCUCUGGACUGUAACUGACGCUGAGGCUCGAAAGCGUGGGGAGCAAACAGG